CACGUAGGGACCAAGCGUUGUCCGGAUUUAUUGGGCGUAAAGAGCUCGUAGGCGGUUCAGCAAGUCGGGUGUGAAAACUCUGGGCUCAACCCAGAGACGCCACCCGAUACUGUUGUGACUAGAGUCCGGUAGGGGAGUGGGGAAUUCCUGGUGUAGCGGUGAAAUGCGCAGAUAUCAGGAGGAACACCGGUGGCGAAGGCGCCACUCUGGGCCGGCACUGACGCUGAGGAGCGAAAGCGUGGGUAGCAAA
This 250-nucleotide ribosomal RNA is filed under the name uncultured bacterium. RNAcentral describes it as "partial 16S ribosomal RNA". It matches the Rfam family "Bacterial small subunit ribosomal RNA", at positions 524 to 772 of the family's 1533-position model. The record is from RNAcentral.